CCCAUCCAGGAUGAUGAGCUCAUCUCCUACCUACUGCAUGGGCUGGACAUGGACUACCAGCCCCUCGUCUCCGCCAUCGACGCCCGCGUCACGUCGGUCUCCCUCGAUGAGUUGUACGCCAUGCUGAGCAAUUUUGAUC
This 139-nucleotide small nucleolar RNA is filed under the name Triticum aestivum (bread wheat). RNAcentral's name for it is "Small nucleolar RNA Z247". It matches the Rfam family "Small nucleolar RNA Z247". From Rfam's summary of the family: Z247 is a member of the C/D class of snoRNA which contain the C (UGAUGA) and D (CUGA) box motifs. The record is from Rfam by way of RNAcentral. Lineage: Eukaryota; Viridiplantae; Streptophyta; Magnoliopsida; Poales; Poaceae. RNAcentral also lists the same sequence under 1 other name.